This 301-nucleotide ribosomal RNA is filed under the name uncultured bacterium. Its description in RNAcentral is "partial 16S ribosomal RNA". It matches the Rfam family "Bacterial small subunit ribosomal RNA", at positions 509 to 807 of the family's 1533-position model. The record is from RNAcentral.
CAGCCGCCGCGGGAAUACAGAGGGUGCGAGCGUUAAUCGGAUUUACUGGGCGUAAAGCGUGCGUAGGCGGCUUUUUAAGUCGGAUGUGAAAUCCCUGAGCUUAACUUAGGAAUUGCAUUCGAUACUGGAAAGCUAGAGUAUGGGAGAGGAUGGUAGAAUUCCAGGUGUAGCGGUGAAAUGCGUAGAGAUCUGGAGGAAUACCGAUGGCGAAGGCAGCCAUCUGGCCUAAUACUGACGCUGAGGUACGAAAGCAUGGGGAGCAAACAGGAUUAGAUACCCCUGUAGUCCCUGUCUCUUAUAC